This 44-nucleotide ribosomal RNA is filed under the name Tricholomopsis rutilans. Its description in RNAcentral is "partial 28S ribosomal RNA". The record is from RNAcentral. Lineage: Eukaryota; Fungi; Basidiomycota; Agaricomycetes; Agaricales.
GUAAGACUACCCGCUGAACUUAAGCAUAUCAAUAAGCGGAGGAA